This 71-nucleotide transfer RNA is filed under the name Hyperolius marmoratus (marbled rush frog). RNAcentral's name for it is "tRNA-Gln". The record is from RNAcentral. Lineage: Eukaryota; Metazoa; Chordata; Amphibia; Anura; Hyperoliidae.
UUAGAAAAACAGGAAUUGAACCUGCACUAGAGAAAUCAAAAUUCUCUGUACUCCCAGUAUACUAUUUUCUA